GAUCAUUACCAAGAGAAAUCUUUCAACACUGAAAGAUCUUUUCCUUUGUGCUGGCUUUGACCGUAUGUAAUUUUGGGACUUUAAAAUGGUUCGCAAGGGCCGGUCCCAAAAACAAUAUAUCAUCCUUAUGAAAUUUUUUCUGAACAAUUAAACAAAUGAUUUUAAUAAUCUGUUUAAAACAACUUUCAACAACGGAUCUCUUGGUUCUCGCAUCGAUGAAGAACGCAGCGAAAUGCGAUACGUAAUGUGAAUUGCAGAAUUCAGUGAAUCAUCGAAUCUUUGAACGCACAUUGCACUCCUUGGUAUUCCGAGGAGUAUGCCUGUUUCAGUAUCAUGAGCACUCUCACACCUAACCUUUGGGUUUAUGGCGUGGAAUUGGAAUGCGCCGACUGUCAUGGUUGGCCCUUCUAAAAUGUAGUUCUUGGCUGUCACCUAAUACAGCAGUUUGGCCUAAUAGUUUUGGCAUUCAUUGUCAAAUCUUUGGCUAACAUUUGCUCCAGGAGUCAGUCUUGAUAAUACAGAAAACUCAUUCAAAUUUUGAUCUGAAAUCAGGUAGGGCUACCCGCUGAACUUAAGCAUAUCAAUAAGCGGAGGAAAAGAAACUAACAAGGAUUCCCCUAGUAACGGCGAGUGAAGCGGGAAGAGCUCAAAUUUAAAAUCUGGUUUGCUUUGCAAAUCCGAGUUGUAGUCUGAAGAAACGUUUUCCAUGAAAGCUGAGGCACAAGUCCUUUGGAACAGGGCAUCAUAGAGGGUGAGAAUCCCGUCCAUGGUCUCAAGCCUUUCAUUUUGUGAUACGUUUUCUAAGAGUCAGGUUGUUUGGGAAUGCAGCCUAAAAUGGGUGGUAAAUUUCAUCUAAAGCUAAAUAUUGGCGAGAGACCGAUAGCGAACAAGUACCGUGAGGGAAAGAUGAAAAGAACUUUGAAAAGAGAGUUAAAAAGUACGUGAAAUUGUUGAAAGGGAACCGUUUGAAGCCAGUCUUGCUUGCUUGUGAUCAAUCUUUGCUUCGGCUUGGAUGCACUCUCAGGUUAUGCAGGUCAACGUCAGUUUGAGAGGUGGGAAAAAAGCUUGAGGAAUGUGGCCUUCGGGUGUUAUAGCCUCUUGCUAAAUACCAUCUUUUGGACUGAGGCUCGCAGCAAAAAUGUGGGCAGGUUUGCGUUUGAGGUGAUACAUUAUUAAGACAGCUUGCUGACUUAGUUUUGUCUAUCUUCACUGUAA
This 1215-nucleotide ribosomal RNA is filed under the name Mortierella sp. OGW3. RNAcentral's name for it is "eukaryotic LSU rRNA". The stretch from base 539 to 1215 matches the Rfam family "Eukaryotic large subunit ribosomal RNA", at positions 1 to 621 of the family's 3401-position model. Lineage: Eukaryota; Fungi; Mortierellomycota; Mortierellomycetes; Mortierellales; Mortierellaceae. The record is from RNAcentral.